RNAcentral lists this long non-coding RNA (274 nucleotides) under Phaseolus vulgaris (common bean). Its description in RNAcentral is "long non-coding RNA (PVUL_LNC004646)". Lineage: Eukaryota; Viridiplantae; Streptophyta; Magnoliopsida; Fabales; Fabaceae. The record is from RNAcentral.
CAUACAACACAUCUGUGAUGAUAGCCUCUUUGCCAUCCUUCCUCUUCACCAUGAUGCUUCCAAUGCCCUCAGAAUUCACUUGACUAUUGUCUGCAAAUCUGAUUCCUCUAGAACUAGAUUCAUCCAGAUCUACAAACCAACCUCUGUUUCCAGUCAUGUGGUUGCUGCAACCUGUGUCUAGGUACCACACAUUUGAUGUGUCAUCAUCCAAUUGUGUUGUAGCCAUCAACAUUGCAUCAUCUGAGUCACUUUCUGCCAGCUGAGCCUCAUCUUU